UAUGAAAUUUGCCCUAAGUUUGUCUUUUGCAUGUAUUUGUAUGCUGUUUUUAAUAAUCAGGAAUGAGAGAAUCAAGAUGAAGAAAAUAUUUUGAAGUGGUCUCUGGAUGUUUCUGCUCUUCAGCUGCUCAUGGAGAGUUUGUAAGGCUCUUGUGAAACCACGUAGAAGCCAAACUGAUGGCGUGUUGUUCCACAAAGCACGGCAUGGGAUCUUCUAAGGAGACCUGCAUGUAAGAAGAAUGAAGCUUCCUGAUCUUUACCUUCACUUCAACUAAUGUCUAAAACAAACAAACAAAAACAACCACCACAAAAAUGGAGUGAUCUCCUUUGCACUCUUCUUUUCACUUCUGCUGCCUGGGGGAGAUGAGACCAGCCUGCUGCUGGUACAUUGGGAGAAGGAUCCAUCUUGCCUUUUGCUGCAAUCUCCCUAAAGCAUCUCCACACCUGUACUAUUCUGCAGCAGAAAUAUGGUUCACUGAGUUGUUUUGCAUCACUCAGAAAUGGGAUCAGACUUUACUGUCCAGCAGAGAAUUGAACCUUGAGUGGAAUGGCAAUUACCUUAACUUGUAAGUUAUGGCUUUCUGCUGUCAUCUACACUACUGAGUAACUCAGUGCAAGAAGGAGAUGAUGUUCGUGCUGGGGAUGAAAGCUUCACACUGAGCAUUUUGGAGGUAUUCUUACCCCUUGGGCAGAAGCCCAUUAAUGCCUGGAGUGCCUGAGUUGACCUCUGGAGUACACUUUCCACAUCAGCUUCAUCCAAAAAUCAGCAUGUUUGUGCCCUCUGAGUUUGCUCUGUGUUGUGAACUGAGGUGUGGUGAGUACGGUUAGAAAACUUCCUUCUGAAGUUCCCAGACCCAACUAAAAUACUAGUAUAAACUCUCCCAUGGCCUUUUACAAUAUGGUAGCAAUGUAAUAAUUGCAAGCUACUACCCUCAGGGAGAUCAAAGUCCCUGUAUUUCAAGGUGGUGCCUGAUGUACUCAAGCAUAAGAGCAAAAUCUUCCAUAUUUAUGUGAGCUAAGAGAACCAGGAGGUGAACCCAAAUGAGUCUGAAACUGAUGAAAAGUAUUUGCCAGUAAGGCCAGCUCUUAAUUUAUUCUGUACUCAUCUUCCAAAAGGGAAAGAAAUACCUUUCUCAAAUUCUUGAUGAAACAUGAGAGCUUGCUUGUUCUUAACCUGUAGGAAGAAAGAGCCAAAGGUGUUAUUUCAGAAGCACUGACUGAGAAGCUUUGUAGUGCAAAGUCUUUCAUUGUGCCUACCUGGACUGAAAAAAAAAUUCAAUGCGAACUGAAUACCAUUGAUUUUCAUUUACUUUAGGGAGAGGUGUUUAGCUUUUAUUUCUGAAAUACUCAUGGCCUACAUUUGAAAACUCAGUGGUUAAUUUUAAGGAUGUUAAAUCUGCUAAAAUGAGUGCUCGCAUAACACCUGCCCUUCUGGAAGCUAGUAAGUUAAACAGCAUUGCUUGUGGACUAAAGAAAAUAUGGUCGGGGUGAUAAACAGAGCUAUAGGUAGAUCUAUUGGGAAAGAAAUGUAAUUGGAUUCUUGGGUAUCUGAAUGGUUGGGGCACUUCCCUUUCUGCCCCACGGCAAAAAGGCCCCAAUCCAGUGGAGCACUUAACCGUGAGCCGUGCCUCGGAGAUCAAUGGUGCUACUUACGGCCUGUAAAACCAGGCACGUGGUUAAGUGCUUUAUUGGGUCAGAGCCAGACCGAAUAACACAUACAUAACACUGCAUUCAGAUUCACUAUAUUCAAUUCUCAGAUCUGUAUUGAUCUGAAUUUUGAAGCCUUCACUGAAUUAACUUUUAAAGUAAAUUUUCUUUUUUAUAAACACAAAAUGAAUUUGAUGUAGUUGCCCCUUUCACUCGGAGAUCUGAAAAUACUUUAAAAAAUAUGAAUGUAUUGAUCUUUCACUAUGGGGAGAGUGAGUAGUAGCAACCCAUAAAACAGAUGAGGAAUCUGAAAGUAGAAGAGUGAAGAAAAAUCCACAACAACUGAAUAGAAUUGGAAAACAAAUUUGUCUUGAUUGUAUUCCCAUCUGCUUUGGGUUCGGUUUCAUCAGCUUUCUUGAAAGGGAGCUUCUGUCAGGAAAGUAUAUGAAAGCACUUUUUUUUGUAGAUAUUUAAGAGCAGUUGCAGAAGUGUUUUUUUAACCUAGCUUCUCAUUUAUGGGCUUAUGUAUGCCUGUUCUUUUUUACAUACUAUGAAAAUAGUAUGGAUUUGUACAGAAUAGGUACUUUUUUGUUCACAGUUGUUAUCAAAGGAAGUUUUUAAGAAGAGGCAGAAAACCACUGAAAUACUGUUCGCAUGUUAACUUGUGGAACUCAUUGUCCAUGGAUAGCAUUUCAAUAAUGUGGCAAAGACUGUUAGAAUUGCUUGUUAUGUGUGCAAAGAACAGCUGCAGCAACUUUAAAUAGGAUGACAGUAUAUAGGAAGAAGAGCAAUAAUGCUAUAACCAUUAAGCAUUGGGCAUAGGAAGAAGAUUCUCUCAUAAUCAAGUUAUUGCAUAAUUCUCUGUUAUGGGAGUUUCACACCUUCCUCUGAAACAUCUGGUGCUAGAAAUGCAAUAAAAUACUAAAUGAAUUUCUGACCUGAUGUGACAUGACAAUCAAUAAAGUUCUUUUAUUAGCUAACUCUACUUUUAAGAACUUGUCAGAGUAACAGCACACAGCUUUGCGGAAUGCCAACUUGUGAUCAAACAUUCAAUUUCUUUAAAAACUGAAUCUUUCCUUCCUUAUUGUACACUUUCUCAAGUCUGGGGAGAUUAUCCCAGCAUCCUGCACCAUCUGCCACUAGAGAAAACGUGGGUUCUUGUGGGUUGUUUAAAACCUUAUGUUUGCUGUGUGGAAAAAAAUGUAGUGGUACAAAGCAGCUGAGAUGCAACCAAAACUGCUUUAGGCAGAGUAGCCAAUCCAUGGUACAUCUGCAGGGACUUCACCCAUGCUCCUUCCUUUCAUGCACUGCUCUUCUCUGCUACCCCACAGUCUUGCAGUCCCUUCUAGUAUUAGAUAUUAAAAUAUUCCUAAACUUUUGAUCGAUAUUCCAGUGUUUUCACUCUGGGAAUGCAGUGUGCAUCAGGUUACAAAGUCAGAAACUACUACACAUACAUCAGGCACAUGUCCAGUGCCUGCUAAGCAAUGCCUGAAUUUUUGGCAUAGGAUUGAUUGCAUGGUGUGGAAGCUUUGCAGCUCCUUAAACUGCUUUGGGCUCUCACCCUAUGGAAACAUGGGACCCUGCUGGUGUAGCUGGGCCCAAGAGAAGUUGAUGCUGCUGGAGAAAAGGCUGAGGCAUCCUGAAAUGACCUUGCAGGUCUUGUGGACAGCUCAGGAUGGGAAUUUAAGGGCACUUCUGUAAGCACUAUAUCACAGUGAGGUCUCAUUACAGUCAAAUGCAAGCCAUGUGUUUUUUUUCCAGUGAGGGCAAAUUUAUUCCAAUUGUGAGUACUUGAAAAUACCUAACUCUGAAAUGAUGCCCCUGGUGAGAAACCCUGAGGAGUGCAGCACUGUGAAUGAUUCCCACACUCCUUCAAAAUGAAGCCGUGCUGUAAAGCAAUGCAUUUUGAUAGCAUAGCGUACAUCUCUCAGAGCAGCCUGAAUGAUUUUUCCCAAAGAGUGCAGCAAAGUGUUGGUAUGAUAGCUCUGCGGUUUUGAAAUACAAACACUUUUAAGGUACACCAAGAGUGUUGAAUCACAUGUGAAUGUAUGUAUAUGAUUAAAGGAAAUAGACCUAUGCAUCAAUAGGAUUUAUUUUGAGCUGGGCAGCACAGAAAGCUCAAUGCAGUUUUUAACAGUCAUAUUUUCAUGCAAAUGAACUGUAGCCAGUCUGAAGAUAUUCCAGGAAUCCCAAAUUUUAUGUACCACCUCUGAAGUCUUCCUCAUAUAGAACAUUAUUUAAUUUGUCAUUGAUUAGUAAGUUGCUUUGUGAAAGCCAGCAAAUGAUCUGGGGUGAAUUGACGAGCACAAAGAUUAUUCUUCUGGAAAUGAAUUGAAAUUCUUACUGCUGAGUAAUUUCCAUGAAAAUAGAACAGCCUUUGUAGCUUUUAUUUUAAAAUAAGAAUAAAUGAUGCCAAAAGGCAGCAAAUAAAGGAGAUGAAAAAUCCUAGAUAAAAGACAUAGGCAAGAAAAUCUCAACUUGUAUGUCUGUCACAGCAAGCUACAAAGCUCUUGCAAGUAACUAUGUGAAACUUGAAUUGAUUUAGGACAAUUUAGAAGAUACGACUAAGUGUAAAUCGCUUCUCAUUGCAUCUCCUGGA
Molecule: long non-coding RNA, 4245 nt
Organism: Cygnus olor (mute swan)
Lineage: Eukaryota; Metazoa; Chordata; Aves; Anseriformes; Anatidae
Exons: 3
Source: RefSeq, a predicted model, not a curated record